This 116-nucleotide ribosomal RNA is filed under the name Escherichia coli. Lineage: Bacteria; Pseudomonadati; Pseudomonadota; Gammaproteobacteria; Enterobacterales; Enterobacteriaceae. The record is from RNAcentral. RNAcentral also lists the same sequence under 5 other names.
CCUGGCAGCCGUAGCGCGGUGGUCCCACCUGACCCCAUGCCGAACUCAGAAGUGAAACGCCGUAGCGCCGAUGGUAGUGUGGGGUCUCCCCAUGCGAGAGUAGGGAACUGCCAGGC